GACGAACGCUGGCGGCGUGCUUAACACAUGCCAGUCGAACGGAAAGGCCCUGCUUUUGUGGGGUGCUCGAGUGGCGAACGGGUGAGUAACACGUGAGUAACCUGCCCUUGACUUUGGGAUAACCUCAGGAAACUGGGGCUAAUACCGGAUAGGAGCUCCUGCCGCAUGGUGGGGGCUGGAAAGUUUCGGCGGUUGGGGAUGGACUCGCGGCUUAUCAGCUUGUUGGUGGGGUAGUGGCUUACCAAGGCUUUGACGGGUAGCCGGCCUGGGAGGGUGACCGGCCACAUUGGGACUGGGAUGCGGCCCAGACUCCUACGGGAGGCAGCAGUGGAGAAUAUUGCACAAUGGGCGGAGGCCUGAUGCAGCAACGCCGCGUGCGGGGUAACGGCCUUCGGGUUGUAUACCACUUUCGCCUGUGACGAGACGUGAAUGACGGUAAUGGGUAAAGAAGCACCGGCUAACUACGUG
RNAcentral lists this ribosomal RNA (468 nucleotides) under uncultured bacterium. RNAcentral describes it as "partial 16S ribosomal RNA". It matches the Rfam family "Bacterial small subunit ribosomal RNA", at positions 28 to 507 of the family's 1533-position model. The record is from RNAcentral.